AGUGAACGCUGGCGGUAGGCCUAACACAUGCAAGUCGAACGGCAGCACAGUAAGAGCUUGCUCUUACGGGUGGCGAGUGGCGGACGGGUGAGGAAUACAUCGGAAUCUACUUUUUCGUGGGGGAUAACGUAGGGAAACUUACGCUAAUACCGCAUACGACCUACGGGUGAAAGCAGGGGAUCUUCGGACCUUGCGCGAUUGAAUGAGCCGAUGUCGGAUUAGCUAGUUGGCGGGGUAAAGGCCCACCAAGGCGACGAUCCGUAGCUGGUCUGAGAGGAUGAUCAGCCACACUGGAACUGAGACACGUUCCAGACUCCUACGGGAGGCAGCAGUGGGGAAUAUUGGACAAUGGGCGCAAGCCUGAUCCAGCCAUACCGCGUGGGUGAAGAAGGCCUUCGGGUUGUAAAGCCCUUUUGUUGGGAAAGAAAAGCAGCAGGUUAAUACCCCGCUGUUCUGACGGUACCCAAAGAAUAAGCACCGGCUAACUUCGUG
RNAcentral lists this ribosomal RNA (492 nucleotides) under uncultured bacterium. Its description in RNAcentral is "partial 16S ribosomal RNA". It matches the Rfam family "Bacterial small subunit ribosomal RNA", at positions 29 to 507 of the family's 1533-position model. The record is from RNAcentral.